Molecule: small RNA, 610 nt
Filed under: Arabidopsis thaliana (thale cress)
Lineage: Eukaryota; Viridiplantae; Streptophyta; Magnoliopsida; Brassicales; Brassicaceae
Description: ATSL160690
Source: RNAcentral
GAUUCUUGUAUGCAUAGGUUGACACUUACCUUUAGCAUUCUUCUAAAGCUCAGACCAUUUUCGUUGAGAGUCCCCUGUUAUUAAAAUCUGAACCACUUAAAAGGGAUCAUCUUUGUCUCAUAACCUGUCAUUAGCCAAAUGAGUUCACUAGCGAUGCAUAUCUUGAUUCAUGUUUUUGAACUUAAUGAAUGUUAAAGGGAUCGGUUGAUCUUGACGCAUUGUGCAAUUGAGUGUAGGUUUGGAUCAUAACAGAGCAUGGCUAAAUUUUUUAAGUAGAAGUCGAUCACCUCGCAUCUUAGAACUGUUAGUUGGUACAUUGAUCUUAUUGGUAUAUCUCAUGCUUUGGUUCUGAAUCCCCAACUUCAAACCUCUCCUUCCGCUUAUGUCUUCUUGUUUGCUUGAGGGCAAGCAAAGACUAAGUUUGGGGGAGUUGAUAUGUCUAUAAUUUGCAUGAUUUAGGCAUUCAUUCUGCACCUCUUUGUCAUUGUUUCAUCCACAUUUCAUCUCAUUAGGAGUCGUUUUAGUGUGUUUUGCAUACUUAGGACGAUUUUGCAUUAGGAUUGCAUGUGCAUUGCAUAUUUGGUUGUUUUGAGGUACAUUGGAUGCUUUU